UACGAAGGGGGCGAGCGUUGUUCGGAUUUACUGGGCGUAAAGGGCGCGCAGGCGGCUAUUUUUGUCAGGCGUGGAAGCCCCGGGCUUAACCUGGGAACAGCGCUUGAGACGGGAUGGCUAGAGAUCGGGAGAGGAGAGUGGAAUUCCCAGUGUAGAGGUGAAAUUCGUAGAUAUUGGGAAGAACACCGGUGGCGAAGGCGGCCCACUGGAUCGGUACUGACGCUGAGGUGCGAAAGCGUGGGGAGCAAACAGG
This 253-nucleotide ribosomal RNA is filed under the name uncultured bacterium. RNAcentral describes it as "partial 16S ribosomal RNA". It matches the Rfam family "Bacterial small subunit ribosomal RNA", at positions 524 to 776 of the family's 1533-position model. The record is from RNAcentral.